This 73-nucleotide transfer RNA is filed under the name Camelus bactrianus (Bactrian camel). It matches the Rfam family "tRNA". From Rfam's summary of the family: Transfer RNA (tRNA) molecules are approximately 80 nucleotides in length. Their secondary structure includes four short double-helical elements and three loops (D, anti-codon, and T loops). Further hydrogen bonds mediate the characteristic L-shaped molecular structure. tRNAs have two regions of fundamental functional importance: the anti-codon, which is responsible for specific mRNA codon recognition, and the 3' end, to which the tRNAs corresponding amino acid is attached (by aminoacyl-tRNA synthetases). tRNAs cope with the degeneracy of the genetic code in two manners: having more than one tRNA (with a specific anti-codon) for a particular amino acid; and 'wobble' base-pairing, i.e. permitting non-standard base-pairing at the 3rd anti-codon position. RNAcentral also lists the same sequence under 2 other names. The record is from Rfam by way of RNAcentral. Lineage: Eukaryota; Metazoa; Chordata; Mammalia; Artiodactyla; Camelidae.
GAGGGUAUAGCUGAAGUGGUAGAGCGCAUGCUUAGCAUGCACGAGGCCCUGGGUUCGAUCCCCAGUACCUCCU